This 1970-nucleotide unclassified non-coding RNA is filed under the name Hevea brasiliensis (rubber tree). Lineage: Eukaryota; Viridiplantae; Streptophyta; Magnoliopsida; Malpighiales; Euphorbiaceae. The record is from RNAcentral.
GGCGGCUGCACGCUGAACUCAAAUGCUUCUUCACAAUCACAAAGCAUAUUCAACUGCAACUUCUAAACUCACUUGGAGAACCCAAAUCAAACAAAACCAACUGGUUUCCCAAAUCUCUUCUAUUUUAAUACAAAGACACAACUGGGUCUCACUUCUUCUGAAUCUUAAUCUUUCUUCCAAGCUCACUCCUCCUCUCUUCCUCCAAAUCCUCCAUAAAACUCAAUCCCACCCUCAAAUCUCUCUCAGCUUCUUCAACUGGGCCAUAUCCUAUCUCAAAUUCAAGCCAGACCUCAUAUCCCAAUGCCAUGUUAUCCAAGUUUCUCUUGGGGCGGGUCUUGCCCAAUCCGCGAAGACAAUCUUGGAUUCUCUAGUUCAAACCCGCAGUGCACAUGUACUCGUGGAGACCAUGGUUCAAGCUUGUAGAGGUAAAAGUUCUCAGUCUGAUGCUUUAAGCUUUGUUCUUCAAUGCUAUUCGCGUAAGGGUUUGUUUAUGGGUGCUUUGGAUGUGUCUAGGAAAAUGAGAGUUAUUGGAUGUACUCCUUCUGUUCAUGCCUGUAAUGCACUUCUUGAUGUUUUGCAAAGAGGAAAUCAGAUAAAAUUGGCCUGGUGUUUUUAUGGUGCCAUGAUUCGAGAUGGGAUUCUGCCCGAUAAGUUUACUUGUUCUCUGGUUGGUCAUAUUCUUCGUCGAGAUGGGAAAUUUGAGAGAAUUGUUAAAUUGUUGGACAUGGGUAUUUUUAAUUCAGUUAUGUACAAUGCUGUUGUUGAUUAUUACAGUAGAAUUGGGGAUUUUGAAGCUGCAUUUUGUCGCUUAAAUGAGUUGCAUCAUAGAAAACUUGACCCUAGUUUCAGUACCUAUGGCUCCAUACUAGAUGGAGCUUGCAAAUGUGGAAAUGUUGAAGUGAUUGACAGAGUAAUGGCUGAAAUGGUGGAUAAAGGAUUGCUUCCUAAGCCUCCUUUAUCUGAAUGUGGUUCAACUAUCCAGAAGCUUUGCGAUUUGGGAAAUGUGAAUGCUGCAACAAUGUUUUUCGAGAGAGCUUGUGAUGAGAGGAUUGGAUUGCAGGAUGCUACAUAUGGGUGUAUGCUAAAGGCAUUUUCUAAAGAAGGAAGGGUAGAGGAAGCUAUAGGUUUACACCGAAUGAUAAUAGAAAGGGGUAUCACAAUAAAGAAUAGUGCCUAUCAUGCUUUUGUAGAUCUUCUUUGUGAGGAAGAUCAACCUGAGGACAGAUAUGGAAUACUGAGGGACAUCAUGAGAAGGGGUUUUAGUCCUUCUACAUCUAAUUUGUGCAAAUGUAUCUCAUCAUUAUGUGCAGAACGCAAAUGGGGAGAGGUGGAGGAGCUGUUGAAUGUGGUUCUAGAGAAAGGGUUAUUGCCAGAUUCAUUAUCCUGUUAUUCCCUGGUCGAACAUUAUUGCUCCAGCAGACAGAUUGAUAAAGUUAUGGCAUUGCAUAAUAAGUUGGAGAAAUCAGAAGCAAGUUUAGAUGUGACAACAUAUAACAGAAUCCUUGAUGGUUUAGUUAAAGAAGGAAGAAUUGAAGAAUCAAUUAGGGUGUUUGAUUAUAUGAAAGGACUCAAAUUAGUUAAUAGUGCAAGUUUUACAGUUAUAAUCCGUGGGCUUUGUCAUGCAAAGGAGAUGAGAAAAGCAAUGAAGCUUCAUGAUGAAAUGUUGAAUAUGGGGCUUAAACCUGAUAAAGCAACAUAUAAAAGCUUGAUAUUGGAAUUCAAGCAAUAGGAUGUCUACUUCAAUGUCUCUGUUUGUUCUGUAAGUGUACAGGCUGAAAUUGCAUAUUUUGCCUUCUUUUUAUCACUUGGAAUAUUUCCCAAGCCAUGUUCACAGUGCAAAAAUGCAAAAAAGACUUAUUUUUUUUUUAUCAUUCCUAGAUAAAAUUUGAGCAGAAUUUUGUUGAAGCUCCAAACUUAAGAAAUUUGUUGAACUGGAUGAGGCAAAAAAGCUCAGUGUCAUUUUAGGCUGA